UGGGGAAUUUUGGACAAUGGGGGAAACCCUGGUCCAGCCAUCCCGCGUGUGCGAUGAAGGCCUUCGGGUUGUAAAGCACUUUUGGCAGGAAAGAAACGUCGCGGGUUAAUACCCCGCGAAACUGACGGUACCUGCAGAAUAAGCACCGGCUAACUACGUGCCAGCAGCCGCGGUAAUACGUAGGGUGCAAGCGUUAAUCGGAAUUACUGGGCGUAAAGCGUGCGCAGGCGGUUCGGAAAGAAAGAUGUGAAAUCCCAGAGCUUAACUUUGGAACUGCAUUUUUAACUACCGGGCUAGAGUGUGUCAGAGGGAGGUGGAAUUCCGCGUGUAGCAGUGAAAUGCGUAGAUAUGCGGAGGAACACCGAUGGCGAAGGCAGCCUCCUGGGAUAACACUGACGCUCAUGCACGAAAGCGUGGGGAGCAAACAGGAUUAGAUACCCUGGUAGUCCACGCCCUAAACGAUGUCAACUAGCUGUUGGGGCCUUCGGGCCUUGGUAGCGCAGCUAACGCGUGAAGUUGACCGCCUGGGGAGUACGGUCGCAAGAUUAAAACUUAAAGGAAUU
Molecule: ribosomal RNA, 563 nt
Filed under: uncultured bacterium
Lineage: Bacteria
Description: partial 16S ribosomal RNA
Rfam family: Bacterial small subunit ribosomal RNA
Source: RNAcentral